UUUAAUCGUAAGGAAUCACCGGAAGAAACAUCCUGCCAAAAAUUCUUAAAAACUUUGGAAAUAAGCAUGAUUUGCCUUUACAAUUUAGGUUAUUGGUAUAAUUAUUGGCGUCGCAACUGCUUACUUUUUCAACAUACAUUUUUCCUUCUUUUCUGCAUAGGUUGUUCUUUCAAAUUGCACUUUUCAGUAAAUUAUCGACAUCAAAAUUUCUUACAUUUUCUACGUAGUUUUUCCUUCUUUUCUGCAUAGGCUGUUCUUUCGAGUUACACUAUUCAGGUAAUUAUCGGCACCACAAGCACAGGUAUUUAGAAAUUUGAAAAAAAUAUUAAAUAAAUAUUUUAGCAAUUUUAACACCGGCUGUAAUGCCCAUAAUUUCCCGAAAAGUGCAAUUCGAAAGAACAGCCUAUGCAAAAAAGAAGGGAGAAUCUAUGUUAAAAAAGUAUAUACGCAGUUGCGAUGCCGAUAAUUUCCUGAAAAGUGCAACUCGAAAGAACAGCCUAUGCAAAAGAAGGGAAAAUUGUUGAUGAACAUAUAAGCAGUUGUAAUGCCAACAAUUCUUAUAACGACUCAAACAUUUUUUUAACGAAGAAGGAAACGUAACACUCUGAUAAUUGCCAUCGUACUUCGAUUUAACGGUUUAUUUGAGGGUUGACCAACUGCCAAUCCGCGGCGCUCGCAUCGUUUUUGUUCGAGUUUGACACUACUGCCACCUAGUUGAUGGUUGGCCAAAUUCAGUCCUUUUAGAAUUAAGCGAAUCUGUUUCCGAGACUAAAAUUUGAAUCGAAAAAUGUUCGAAGUGUUACGUCUGUUUGUCUGUGGUGACAUUGUUUUCCU
Aedes albopictus (Asian tiger mosquito) is the source of this 834-nucleotide long non-coding RNA. RefSeq lists it as uncharacterized. The transcript is spliced from 2 exons. The record is from RefSeq and is a predicted model, not a curated record. NCBI's taxonomy places the organism in Eukaryota, Metazoa, Arthropoda, Insecta, Diptera, Culicidae.